AGCCACCAAGGCGACGAUCGGUAGCCGGACUGAGAGGUUGAACGGCCACAUUGGGACUGAGACACGGCCCAGACUCCUACGGGAGGCAGCAGUGGGGAAUAUUGCACAAUGGGGGAAACCCUGAUGCAGCGACGCGGCGUGGAGGAAGAAGGUCUUCGGAUUGUAAACUCCUGUUGUUGAGGAAGAUAAUGACGGUACUCAACAAGGAAGUGACGGCUAACUACGUGCCAGCAGCCGCGGUAAAACGUAGGUCACAAGCGUUGUCCGGAAUUACUGGGUGUAAAGGGAGCGCAGGCGGGAAGACAAGUUGGAAGUGAAAUCCAUGGGCUCAACCCAUGAACUGCUUUCAAAACUGUUUUUCUUGAGUAGUGCAGAGGUAGGCGGAAUUCCCGGUGUAGCGGUGGAAUGCGUAGAUAUCGGGAGGAACACCAGUGGCGAAGGCGGCCUACUGGGCACCAACUGACGCUGAGGCUCGAAAGUGUGGGUAGCAAACAGGAUUAGAUACCCUGGUAGUCCACACUGUAAACGAUGAUUACUAGGUGUUGGAGGAUUGACCCCUUCAGUGCCGCAGUUAACACAAUAAGUAAUCCACCUGGGGAGUACGACCGCAAGGUUGAAACUCAAAGGAAUUGACGGGGGCCCGCACAAGCAGUGGAGUAUGUGGUUUAAUUCGACGCAACGCGAAGAACCUUACCAAGUCUUGACAUCCUGCGACGGACAUAGAAAUAUGUUUUUCCUUCGGGACGCAGAGACAGGUGGUGCAUGGUUGUCGUCAGCUCGUGUCGUGAGAUGUUGGGUUAAGUCCCGCAACGAGCGCAACCCUUAUGGUCAGUUACUACGCAAGAGGACUCUGGCCAGACUGCCGUUGACAAAACGGAGGAAGGUGGGGAUGACGUCAAAUCAUCAUGCCCUUUAUGACUUGGGCUACACACGUACUACAAUGGCGUUAAACAAAGAGAAGCAAGACCGCGAGGUGGAGCAAAACUCAGAAACAACGUCCCAGUUCGGACUGCAGGCUGCAACUCGCCUGCACGAAGUCGGAAUUGCUAGUAAUCGCAGAUCAGCAUGCUGCGGUGAAUACGUUCCCGGGCCUUGUACACACCGCCCGUCACACCAUGAGAGCCGGGGGGACCCGAAGUCGGUAGUCUAACCGCAAGGAGGACGCCGCCGAAGGUAAAACUGGUGAUUGGGGUGAAGUCGUAACAAGGUAGCCGUAGGAGAACCUGCGGCUG
RNAcentral lists this ribosomal RNA (1232 nucleotides) under metagenome. RNAcentral's name for it is "bacterial SSU rRNA". It matches the Rfam family "Bacterial small subunit ribosomal RNA", at positions 263 to 1520 of the family's 1533-position model. The record is from RNAcentral.